CCUACGGGGGGCUGCAGUGGGGAAUAUUGGACAAUGGGGGCAACCCUGAUCCAGCCAUGCCGCGUGUGUGAAGAAGGCCCUCGGGUUGUAAAGCACUUUCAGUGAGGAAGAACGCCUGGUGGUUAAUACCCAUCAGGAAAGACAUCACUCACAGAAGAAGCACCGGCUAACUCCGUGCCAGCAGCCGCGGUAAUACGGAGGGUGCGAGCGUUAAUCGGAAUUACUGGUCGUAAAGCGCGCGUAGGUGGCUUGAUAAGCCGGUUGUGAAAGCCCCGGGCUCAACCUGGGAACGGCAUCCGGAACUGUCAAGCUAGAGUGCAGGAGAGGAAGGUAGAAUUCCCGGUGUAGCGGUGAAAUGCGUAGAGAUCGGGAGGAAUACCAGUGGCGAAGGCGGCCUUCUGGACUGACACUGACACUGAGGUGCGAAAGCGUGGGUAGCAAACAGGAUUAGAUACCCUGGUAGUC
RNAcentral lists this ribosomal RNA (465 nucleotides) under Vreelandella stevensii. Its description in RNAcentral is "partial 16S ribosomal RNA". It matches the Rfam family "Bacterial small subunit ribosomal RNA", at positions 338 to 795 of the family's 1533-position model. Lineage: Bacteria; Pseudomonadati; Pseudomonadota; Gammaproteobacteria; Oceanospirillales; Halomonadaceae. The record is from RNAcentral.